Molecule: ribosomal RNA, 253 nt
Filed under: uncultured bacterium
Lineage: Bacteria
Description: partial 16S ribosomal RNA
Rfam family: Bacterial small subunit ribosomal RNA
Source: RNAcentral
UACGGAGGGAGCUAGCGUUGUUCGGAAAUACUGGGCGUAAAGCGCACGUAGGCGGCGCAGCAAGUCAGGGGUGAAAUCCCGGGGCUCAACCCCGGAACUGCCCUUGAAACUGCAGUGCUAGAAUUCUGGAGAGGCGAGUGGAAUUCCGAGUGUAGAGGUGAAAUUCGUAGAUAUUCGGAAGAACACCAGUGGCGAAGGCGGCUCACUGGCCCGGUACUGACGCUGAGGCGCGAAAGCGUGGGGAGCAAACAGG